CUCUCUCUCGGCAUGGACACAAAAGAAAAGCCAUGUGAGGACACAGAGAGAAGGUGGCUGUCUACGAGCUAGGAAGAAAGGCCUCACCGGAAACCAACCCUCACAGCAGCUCCAUCUUGGACUUCCAGCCUCCGGAACUGUGAGAAAAUAAAUGUUUGCAAUUCAGGUCGGUUGUAUUUUGUGAAGGCCAUCCUAGCAAAUGAAUACUCCUAACAUUGUCUCUUUAAGAGCUCACCAGCCUGAGGUAGGAAUCAUUCCAUCUGUGUUACUAAUGAGACCGCUGAGGAUCAAAGGGGUUUUCCACCACAUCCACUCACCUCUACAUGGCGAAAACCAAGGGUUCACUCUCUGUCUUCAGGGAGCUCCACCCAGCAGCAGCGUUUGACAGAGCUGUUCACUUCCUCUUCCUGGAGCUGUGGCUUCCAGAGCCCAUGCUCAGCAGUUCCCCUCCUUCUUCGACUGCUCCUCUCUUAGGCUCAGAGCCACUCAGACAUUGGGAAGCAAGUUUGUCAAGAUGACAGAGAACCGAGGUAAUGGAUUCGAGUGAUGAAACAGGAAGUUCAUUCAUGAGUUUUUGGCCACACCUCCAAAGUGACGACUUAGCCAGAAAUGGGAUAACUGGGUUUCCCUACUUCUCUUUUAUCAUCCUCAAUGAGAGUGACCAAAUAUUAGAGCUAGAUGGAACCUUAGUGAAAAUCUGGCUACUCGUCCCGUCCCACCAGCCUGCCACCCAUUUCAAGUUUGAAGAGACAAAGACACAUGGACCUUAUGUAAUUACUGGGGAUUACCCCAGGAGUCUGUGGCAAAAGUCAGCUUCUUCCCUCCCUGCUUCCCCGCCCUGUCUCUGGUACUUUCUACCAACACUGGGCUGUUUCUGUGAUCACACUUAAGCGUACCUAACCUGCGAAUGCUGUAUAGAAGGUGCUAAUGAACAUGAUUUAGCUUUAACACUCAGUUUUCUAAAGGGACACGUGGGGGCAGCAAAUGUUUAGGCAAAAACAAUUCCAGUUCUAGCCUCUACUGUCUACAUAUGUGUAUACAUUUGGGAAACGUUUGGGAAAGGGAUAUUUGAGAGCUUCUUUUUCUUUUUUGUGGUUUAGUUAUUUGAUGAUAUUGAGAUUGUUUCUGAGCCAUGUGCUUCAACAUCGGAUUGGGGAUUUCAGAAAAAGUUUUAGUCACUGUGAUUCCAUUUAGCUUCCAAAUGUGUCUCUGCUAAGAGACUUAAAAGCACUCAUAAAUAGCACGUGUGUCUUCUUUGCAGUGUUUGCUAAUUUUGAGUCACAUCUUUUUAGAAAAUCAUGAGAUUUGGUGUCACAGAGACUGGAAUAAAUAUAGUCAAACUUAUUGGUGAAGAUUUCCUUUAGCUGUUUUCAUAAUCCAUUUCCAUUGUUAUGAUUAUUGAUGAAUAAAACAUUUUCUUUAGGUAGAUACUUCUUUUUUCCCCCCACCUUGAUUUAAUGUUUCCACUCUUAUUGUCAAGUUUCUUAUUACUCCCUAAUAACUCUCAAUAAAAUAAUGAUUCCUGGGAGAUUA
RNAcentral lists this long non-coding RNA (1533 nucleotides) under Homo sapiens (human). Its description in RNAcentral is "non-protein coding LINC00518:11". Lineage: Eukaryota; Metazoa; Chordata; Mammalia; Primates; Hominidae. The record is from RNAcentral.